Molecule: ribosomal RNA, 141 nt
Filed under: uncultured bacterium
Lineage: Bacteria
Description: partial 16S ribosomal RNA
Rfam family: Bacterial small subunit ribosomal RNA
Source: RNAcentral
UGGGGAAUAUUGCACAAUGGGCGAAAGCCUGAUGCAGCGACGCCGCGUGAGGGAUGACGGCCUUCGGGUUGUAAACCUCUUUCAGCAGGGACGAAGCGCAAGUGACGGUGCCUGCAGAAGAAGCACCGGCUAACUACGUGC